AACGAACGCUGGCGGCAUGCCUAACACAUGCAAGUCGAACGAGACCUUCGGGUCUAGUUGCGCACGGGUGCGUAACGCGUGGGAACCUGCCGUUAGGUUCGGAAUAACUCAGAGAAAUUUGAGCUAAUACCGGAUGAUGUCUUCGGACCAAAGAUUUAUCGCCUUUAGAUGGGCCCGCGUUGGAUUAGCUAGUUGGUGGGGUAAAGGCCUACCAAGGCGACGAUCCAUAGCUGGUCUGAGAGGAUGAUCAGCCACACUGGGACUGAGACACGGCCCAGACUCCUACGGGAGGCAGCAGUGGGGAAUCUUGGACAACGGGCGAAAGCCUGAUCCAGCAAUGCCGCGUGAGUGAUGAAGGCCUUAGGGUUGUAAAGCUCUUUUACCCGAGAUGAUAAUGACGGUACCGGGAGAAUAAGCUCCGGCUAACUCCGUG
Molecule: ribosomal RNA, 433 nt
Filed under: uncultured bacterium
Lineage: Bacteria
Description: partial 16S ribosomal RNA
Rfam family: Bacterial small subunit ribosomal RNA
Source: RNAcentral